This is a long non-coding RNA of Dendronephthya gigantea, 566 nucleotides long. RefSeq lists it as uncharacterized. The record is from RefSeq and is a predicted model, not a curated record. NCBI's taxonomy places the organism in Eukaryota, Metazoa, Cnidaria, Anthozoa, Malacalcyonacea, Nephtheidae. The transcript is spliced from 3 exons.
GACUUGCGAUUUUGGAUGCGAAAAGCUGGAUUUGGCGACUAGUGCGAGCUAUUUUAAGAAGCAGUAGAAGGACAGAAGUCCACAAUGCCCGGUAGAGGGUAGAAGAAGCAAUGCCAAUGGGAAACUCAAACACAAAUUUCAAUACAAGAAAGCCCUAACCAGGCCCUAACCUAGCGAAACGAUGUUGAAAACAACCCCAAAAUAACUGUUCAAUUCUCAAUGGACGAAGCAACUUACCAUGAUGCAGUAAAUCUAGAUUGAAGACUCGUUUCGUGCAAUUGGCACAACAGGAAACCUCCGAAAAUUUUACUACGAGGAAAAUUGUAAAAGAAGAAACGUGGAUCAGUAUUGCUUAUACAGCCAGGUCAUCAUCUUGGUAGAGUGAGUCUUAGCUUAGUAGAACUCUAGUAGAACUGAACAACCAGUGUCUUAAUGACUAUACCAUUAUGUUUUAGGCAUGCAUGGUACUCCACUUAAAAACAUUUUCUAAAUUUUUUGCAAAUGUGCAUGUGUGUUAAAGUGUAAAUAAAAAGUAUUAAAGAGCUAUACAAUAGAAGCAAUUCCUU